This 721-nucleotide long non-coding RNA is filed under the name Marmota monax (woodchuck). The record is from RNAcentral. Lineage: Eukaryota; Metazoa; Chordata; Mammalia; Rodentia; Sciuridae.
GAAAAGGCCACGUGGAGGAGGGGGUCGCUGCUUCGUUCUCAUUUGCAAAACGGUCCCGCAAGGCCGAGGGAGAGAAGUCUGGUAAACUCGGGCAUAAGGUAACCAGCAGGGGCCCUGCUGCCCAGGGAUCUUCGGGUGGCCUCGGACCCCCACCCCCAGCACAGGUGUUUUGCGGGUGGAGGAAGGCGAGGGGACCCAGUAACGGCCGCGGAGACCCCCAGGGCUUGUUCACUGGCCGCACCUGCCAGGGCCUCGCCGGGGUGUCCGCAGGGGCUCCCCCGCUUGGGUCCUCUGCCGCUCUUUCCUCCCACCCCUGGAGAGAGGUCAGUGACGCCGCUUGAGCCUCGGUGUUCUCAUCUGCGAAAUGGUCCUGCAGGGCCAUUGGCGGAUGAGGAGAGAAGUUUAGUAAACUCGGGCAAGGAUGGCGAUGGCAGUGUGCAGCCGGGAUCUGCUGCUGUCUGUCGGGGACCUGAUAGGCGAACCGCCCCGCCUGCCCCGAGGCUGACUGACCGAGGCUGCCGAGCCGCUACGGGAGCUUCGGCCGCCUUGCUCACGUGCCCGCCCUGCCCGUCCGCGAGUGCCCUCCCUGCGCCCAGCACCGGCCGCGCCCGGGAGCUCGUGUGCAGGGAUCCGCAGGCCCCGUCCGCGUGUCAAGCCCAACGAGCCUGCUCCGACCUCUCCAGACUCCUUCAGGGGCUGGGGCCGGGGCUCAGGUAGAGCG